This 428-nucleotide ribosomal RNA is filed under the name uncultured archaeon. RNAcentral describes it as "bacterial SSU rRNA". It matches the Rfam family "Archaeal small subunit ribosomal RNA", at positions 474 to 903 of the family's 1478-position model. The record is from RNAcentral.
UACCAGCUCUCCGAGUGGUAGGGAUGAUUAUUGGGCUUAAAGCGUCCGUAGCUGGCCUUUCAAGUCUCUCGUUAAAUCCAGCGAUUUAAUCGUUGGACUGCGGGAGAUACUGUUAGGCUAGGAGACGGGAGAAGCCGACGGUAUUUUCGGAGUAGGGGUAAAAUCCUAUAAUCCCGGGAAGACCACCAGUGGCGUAGGCGGUCGGCUAGCACGCGCUCGACGGUGAGGGACGAAAGCUGGGGGAGCGAACCGGAUUAGAUACCCGGGUAGUCCCAGCUGUAAACGAUGCGGACUAGGUGUUGGAGCGGCUACGAGCCGCUUCAGUGCCGCAGGGAAGCCAUUAAGUUCGCCGCCUGGGGAGUACGGCCGCAAGGCUGAAACUUAAGGAAUUGGCGGGGGAGCACCACAAGGGGUGAAGCUUGCGGUUU